Paramormyrops kingsleyae is the source of this 1058-nucleotide non-coding RNA. The record is from RefSeq and is a predicted model, not a curated record. Lineage: Eukaryota; Metazoa; Chordata; Actinopteri; Osteoglossiformes; Mormyridae.
UAGAUAGAUAGAUAGAUAGAAAUAAAGGUAUAGAGAUGAGAGGUGGAUAGAAUUAAACGGAUAGUGAUUCAAGAGGACAGAUUGAUAGAAAAAGGGAUAGUGAUUAGGUAGAAAUAAAGGUGCAGAGAUUGGGUAGAUAGAUGCAUAGAUUGAUAGAAAUAAAGGGAUAUUGACUAGGUAAAAAUAAAGGCAUAGAGAUUAGAUGAGAGGUAGAUAGAAAGAUAGAUACAUGGAUAGACAUAUAUUGAUAGAAAAGGAUAGUGAUUAGGUAAAAAAUAAAGGCAUAGAGAUAGAUGCAUAAACUGAUAGAAAUAAAGGCAUAGAGAUUAAGUAGGUAGAUUUAUAGAAAUAAAUGGAUAGUGAUUAGGUAAAAAUAAAGGUAUAGAGAGAGAUGCAUAGAUUGAUAGAAAUAAAGGCAUAGAGAUUAAGUAGAUAGAUUUAUAGAAAUAAAUGGAUAGUGAUUAGGUAAAAAUAAUCAUAAUAUAGUAUCAAUAUAUAUCUUUAUUAGAAAUAAAGGCAUAGAGAGACAUUCAAUUCUUUUAUUGUCAUAUGUACAAGUACCAUGUAGAUAUACAUAUAUAGAUUGAUAGAUGGAAAUAAAGGUAUAGUGAUUUGGAAGAGAAAGAUAGAUACAUUGAUAGAAUAAGGGAUAGUGAUUACGUAGAAAUAAAGGCAUAGAGAUUAGGUAGAUUGAAAGACAGAUACAUAGAAGUAAUCCAUAGAUGUAUCUAUUAAUAGAUAGAAAUAAAGGCGUAGAGAUCAGAUGAUACACAGAUAUAUACUUAGAUACCUAGAUUGAUAGAUAAGAAUAAAGGGAUAAAGUUAGAAAUAUAGGCAUAGAGAUUAGGUAAAUACAUAGGUAUAUACAUAGACUGAUAGAAAUAAAAGGAUAAUGAUUGGGUAGAACUAAUGGCAUAGAUUAGAUAGCUAAAUACAUACAUGCUUACAUAGAUUGAUAGAAAUAAAGAUUAGGUGGAUAGAAAUAAAGGGAUAGUAUUUGGUAGAAAUGAAGGCAUAGAUAUUUGAUAAAAAUAAAGGCACAAAGAUUAGACAUUGAA